AGGGCCUUAGCUCAGCUGGGAGAGCGUCUGCAUUGCACGCAGGAGGUCAGCGGUUCGAUCCCGUUAGGCUCUU
Molecule: transfer RNA, 73 nt
Filed under: Paenisporosarcina antarctica
Lineage: Bacteria; Bacillati; Bacillota; Bacilli; Caryophanales; Caryophanaceae
Description: Sporosarcina sp. N-05 tRNA
Rfam family: tRNA
About the family: Transfer RNA (tRNA) molecules are approximately 80 nucleotides in length.
Source: Rfam by way of RNAcentral